AGUGAACGCUGGCGGUAGGCCUAACACAUGCAAGUCGAACGGCAGCACAGUAAGAGCUUGCUCUUACGGGUGGCGAGUGGCGGACGGGUGAGGAAUACAUCGGAAUCUACUUUUUCGUGGGGGAUAACGUAGGGAAAUUUACGCUAAUACCGCAUACGACCUACGGGUGAAAGCAGGGGAUCUUCGGACCUUGCGCGAUUGAAUGAGCCGAUGUCGGAUUAGCUAGUUGGCGGGGUAAAGGCCAACCAAGGCGACGAUCCGUAGCUGGUCUGAGAGGAUGAUCAGCCACACUGGAACUGAGACACGGUCCAGACUCCUACGGGAGGCAGCAGUGGGGAAUAUUGGACAAUGGGCGCAAGCCUGAUCCAGCCAUACCGCGUGGGUGAAGAAGGCCUUCGGGUUGUAAAGCCCUUUUGUUGGGAAAGAAAAGCAGCAGGUUAAUACCCCGCUGUUCUGACGGUACCCAAAGAAUAAGCACCGGCUAACUUCGUG
This 492-nucleotide ribosomal RNA is filed under the name uncultured bacterium. RNAcentral describes it as "partial 16S ribosomal RNA". It matches the Rfam family "Bacterial small subunit ribosomal RNA", at positions 29 to 507 of the family's 1533-position model. The record is from RNAcentral.